AGUGGCGAACGGGUGAGUAAUAUAUCGGAACGUACCCUAGAGUGGGGGAUAACGUAGCGAAAGUUACGCUAAUACCGCAUACGAUCUAAGGAUGAAAGUGGGGGAUCGCAAGACCUCAUGCUCGUGGAGCGGCCGAUAUCUGAUUAGCUAGUUGGUAGGGUAAAAGCCUACCAAGGCAUCGAUCAGUAGCUGGUCUGAGAGGACGACCAGCCACACUGGAACUGAGACACGGUCCAGACUCCUACGGGAGGCAGCAGUGGGGAAUUUUGGACAAUGGGCGAAAGCCUGAUCCAGCAAUGCCGCGUGAGUGAAGAAGGCCUUCGGGUUGUAAAGCUCUUUUGUCAGGGAAGAAACGGUGAGAGCUAAUAUCUCUUGCUAAUGACGGUACCUAAAGAAUAAGCACCGGCUAACUACGUGCCAGCAGCCGCGGUAAUACGUAGGGUGCAAGCGUUAAUCGGAAUUACUGGGCGUAAAGCGUGCGCAGGCGGUUUUGUAAGUCUGAUGUGAAAUCCCCGGGCUCAACCUGGGAAUUGCAUUGGAGACUGCAAGGCUAGAAUCUGGCAGAGGGGGGUAGAAUUCCACGUGUAGCAGUGAAAUGCGUAGAUAUGUGGAGGAACACCGAUGGCGAAGGCAGCCCCCUGGGUCAAGAUUGACGCUCAUGCACGAAAGCGUGGGGAGCAAACAGGAUUAGAUACCCUGGUAGUCCACGCCCUAAACGAUGUCUACUAGUUGU
Molecule: ribosomal RNA, 733 nt
Filed under: uncultured bacterium
Lineage: Bacteria
Description: bacterial SSU rRNA
Rfam family: Bacterial small subunit ribosomal RNA
Source: RNAcentral